RNAcentral lists this unclassified non-coding RNA (2671 nucleotides) under uncultured fungus. RNAcentral describes it as "sequence contains 18S rRNA gene, ITS1, 5.8S rRNA gene, ITS2, 28S rRNA gene". The stretch from base 1459 to 2671 matches the Rfam family "Eukaryotic large subunit ribosomal RNA", at positions 1 to 961 of the family's 3401-position model. Lineage: Eukaryota; Fungi. The record is from RNAcentral.
GGAAGGAUCAUUAACGGAUAGUUUUGUUUUCACAACAAAACGCAUAUAUCCAAACAUAAUUUGCUUUGAACGCAAAUUGCCCGUUAUCAAUUGAAAAUGGGCUUACCAAUAAGCGACAUGCUUGUGUUGUUGGUGCUUACGUGUGUGAUAUACCUAUCCAUACGGUGGUCUGUGUUGUGUCUGUGUUUUGUGUUGAUUGAAAAGCAUUUGCAUCGAAAGCUUGCUGUUGCUGUCAUAUUCUCUCUCCACACUAUGCCACGCAUACGCAUUCUCCAAUUUGACUCUGUGACCGGUAUUUGUAUUUGUAUUUUGCAAACAGAUUUUUUCCCUAUCUAGCAUAGGGUAAUAGUGCACUCACAAGUCGUGGGCAAUCAAUCUGGCAUGAAGGAAAAGUGCUGAUUGGACUUACGUGUGUGCGUACUGUUAAAUUUGUUUGCUUACAAUGCAUACUCUCUGUUGUCUACAGCCAGUCUUGUAAUUGUGUUUGAAUGCUGUUAUGCUGUGUGUUUUGGUGUGAGUUCGGUUUAUGCGGUAACUUCGACUCGGAGCUGGCAUUUGCGAUUUAACAACAUUAGCCAACACACACACACACCACCAGUGAUAAUAAUCAUUACGCGCUAUCAUCGAUGCAAGUUGAAUGCACUUAUAUGGAAGCUCUCCUUGCUAACCUGAUUUUGGUGCCUAGUCUGCUGUUCCUGCCAUUUAUUUGGCGUGGAUGCGGGGUGUCGUUGCUUGUCAACGCUGCUAGGCUUAAAUAUCUGCCAGUGUACUGAGUCGAAGCCUCAGGUGCAAGGUCGAACCAAUAUUAUAUGAGACAAAAAACAUUGUCUUUGUGCAAUGUUUUUUAUCAUAUAAACCCCUUUGUUUUUACCUAAAAACAACUUUAAGCCAAAAUCAAAAUGAUUUAUCAUGUAGCAUUAGCCUUUGCCGGUUAAAAGCUAUUAAAAAGACAGUAACAACUGUUAGUGGUGGAUCACUCGGCUCGCUGGUCGAGGAAGAACGCAGCUAGCUGCGUUAAUCGGUGUAAAAUGCAGGACACGCCGAGCACUCGACAUUCGAACGCACAUUGCAGCCUUGGUCAUCCCUUGGCUUCGUUUGUCUGAGCGUCGUUAAUAAGCCAAAAACUAUCAAAAGAUCAGUAUCACGUCGUAUUGGCCAUUCUAGUUGUCAAUUCGUCUGAUCAAUUUAAACACAAAAUUUUGCUUGUCAUUUUGAAACGCCCGUACGCGUAAAAAGUUUACACUUGGUUAUGCGUGUUCCAGCAAUGGAAAUGUAGGGCUUUUGGCAAUACAAGCCAAUAAGCCUGAGCAGUAACCACUACAAGUGUCUUUUACAUUUCAUGCGAAUGUGGAAUCAUCGUUUCAUACAAAUGAAAUCAAGUCAAGGUGUUUGGAAUUUACUUUUGUUGUUUAUAGUUUAAUCGCGCUCGCGCGUUUACUCUACUAACUUGUUAACUCUCGACCUCAGAUCAAGCGAGAUUACCCGCUGAAUUUAAGCAUAUAACUAAGCGGAGGAAAAGAAACCAAAUGGGAUUCCCCUAGUAACGGCGAGUGAACAGGGAACAGCUCAGCGCCAAGUCCUGACACUUGACGUGCUCAGGAGAUGCGGCGUUAGUGUAUUGGUGCAUCGUGCACUGUUUCGUAUCUCAAGUUCCUUUGACAGGGACUCCCAGAGUGGGUGCUAGGCCCAUAGAGAUUGCGAGACUGGUGUACGCAAACCAAUGCAUUUUAGAGUCAGGUUGCUUGAGAGUGCAGCCUAAAGCAGGUGGUAAACUCCAUCUAAAGCUAAAUAUUACAGCGAGACCGAUAGCAAACAAGUACCGUGAGGGAAAGUUGCAAAGAACUUUGAAGAGAGAGUUCAAAAGGACGUGAAACCACUAACAGGCAAACGGGUGGAACCACGAAGUGUGCCUGGAAGGCGAUUCAGUUAUCAUCAUUAGUUGGCUGUGUUUGUAUUGUGUCGGUCUUUUCAGGCUGUACAAAUGUGGUUUACAAUUGGUGAUGGUAAUGCAUUUCGUCCUUCCAGUGCUAAAGCCACGUCCGAUUAGGUGGCUGGAACGGCCGUAGAGGGUGUCUCAAGGAAGGUGGCCGUCAAGUGCUUGCAUUUGGCGGUGUUAUAGCUUUGAGGCCGUGCCGUUACCUAGCGUGCUGAUCGGUGCAAGUUCUCCUUUUGGAGUUUUGCUAGUAAUGGGCUGGCGCGCUUGUAGUGUCUUGGUUAGCGCGUUAGUUUGGCCUUUCGUUCCUUCGGGUUCGCAAAGACAGAUUAGCGUCGUUGGCCAAUGUGCUGCUUGCGUGGUUGGCUUGUGCAAACGGUGGUGCGAGUAGGUCGGUCUCCACCCGACCCGUCUUGAAACACGGACCAAGGAGCCUAACAUAUACGCAAGUCGCUCGGUCUUGUUUAGGCCUGAGAGGCGCAAUGAAAGUAACUUGCUACGAGGCUGGGAGCAUUCGUGCAACCAGUCGCAGUAGCGGCCCGCCUCCUUCCUUAUUGGGGAUAUGGCGGAGUCGGAGCGUAUACGUUGGUACCCGAAAGAUGGUGAACUAUGCCUGGGCAAGACGAAGCCAGAGGAAACUCUGGUGGAGGUCUGUAGCGAUUCUGACGUGCAAAUCGAUCGUCAGACCUGGGUAUAGGGGCGAAAGACUAAUCGAACCAUCUAGUAGCUGGUUCCCUC